Long non-coding RNA from Quercus robur (English oak), 673 nucleotides. RefSeq lists it as uncharacterized. The record is from RefSeq and is a predicted model, not a curated record. The transcript is spliced from 2 exons. NCBI's taxonomy places the organism in Eukaryota, Viridiplantae, Streptophyta, Magnoliopsida, Fagales, Fagaceae.
CUGUCUUAACUCUCAACUCUCAACUCUCAACUCUCUCACAACUCUCAUCUCUCUGUCUCAUCGCCGUCGGUCCACUCAAAGCUUAACGUCACCGACCCACCCGAAGCUCAACGUCACCGGCCCACGCCGCUGACCCACUCUGUCAACCCACGUCCCAGACCCAUCUCGCUCACGCCGUUCAAGUCCCUAGCCGACCCAAGCCCCAAGACUCAAGUCCAAAGUUGACCCACGCCAACCCGUCUUGCCUUCUCUUCUGUCUGACCCAUCUCAGCCUCUUCGAUCUAGCUUGGCCUCUCUUCUUUUCUGUCUGACCCACAAAGUUCGAAGCUUGCUUGCUAAUUAGUUGGGAAUUUUCUGUUUGCAGGGAAUUUAUAUUUGUUGAUUGUAAUGAUAAAUUUGCAGAGAAUUGGAAUGUAUUGGGAAUUUUCUGUUUACAGGGAAUUUAUGUUUUUGUUUUAAUGUUUUUGGUGUAAAUGUUAGUUUGGGAAUUUUCUGUGUGUAGGGAAGGCUACAUUUUUUUGGUUUCUGUUUUUGCUUCUUGCUGAUUUUUUGUUUGUUGUAUCUAAUUUAUUACAAUAAAUGUCAUGUUGGAAAUUGUUUUGGGAAUUUUUUGGUUGUAGGGAAGUUUAUGUUUGUUGUUUCUAAUGUAUUGAUGUAAAUGUUAGUUUGGAAA